UACGGAGGGUCCAAGCGUUAUCCGGAAUCAUUGGGUUUAAAGGGUCCGUAGGCGGUUUUGUAAGUCAGUGGUGAAAGCCCAUCGCUCAACGGUGGAACGGCCAUUGAUACUGCAAGACUUGAAUUAUUAGGAAGUAACUAGAAUAUGUAGUGUAGCGGUGAAAUGCUUAGAUAUUACAUGGAAUACCAAUUGCGAAGGCAGGUUACUACUAAUUGAUUGACGCUGAUGGACGAAAGCGUGGGUAGCGAACAGG
Molecule: ribosomal RNA, 253 nt
Filed under: uncultured bacterium
Lineage: Bacteria
Description: partial 16S ribosomal RNA
Rfam family: Bacterial small subunit ribosomal RNA
Source: RNAcentral